GAUGAAGAACGCAGCGAAAUACGAUAAGUAAUGUGAAUUGCAGAAUUCAGUGAAUCAUCGAAUCUUUGAACGCACAUUGCGCCCGCCAGUAUUCUGGCGGGCAUGCCUGUUCGAGCGUCAUUUCAACCAUCAAGCCCCCGGCUUGUGUUGGGGACCUGCGGCUGCCGCAGGCCCUGAAAAGCAGUGGCGGGCUCGCUGUCACACCGAGCGUAGUAGCAUACAUCUCGCUCUGGGCGUGCUGCGGGUUCCGGCCGUUAAACCACCUUCAUAACCCAAGGUUGACCUCGGAUCAGGUAGGAAGACCCGCUGAACUUAAGCAUAUCGAUAAGCGGAGGA
RNAcentral lists this unclassified non-coding RNA (336 nucleotides) under soil metagenome. Its description in RNAcentral is "partial contains 5.8S ribosomal RNA, internal transcribed spacer 2, and large subunit ribosomal RNA". The stretch from base 1 to 120 matches the Rfam family "5.8S ribosomal RNA", at positions 35 to 154 of the family's 154-position model. The record is from RNAcentral.